GGAAACGGGUCAAGAUUCCCGUACCGGUUGUGAAUGCGAUGGGGGGACGGAGAAGGGUAGCUCAGCGGCCUGUUGGAAUAGGUCGUUUAAGCGUGUAGGAGUGGUCUCCUGGCAAAUCCGGAGAUCUUAUCUGAGGCGUGAUGACGAGGGUCUACGGACCUGAAGUGAGUAAUCCCAAGCUUCCAGGAAAAGCCUCUAAGCUUCAGUUCACAACUGACCGUACCGCAAACCGACACAGGUGGGUAGGUAGAGAAUACCAAGGCGCUUGAGAGAACUCGGGUUAAGGAACUCGGCAA
This 296-nucleotide ribosomal RNA is filed under the name Laribacter hongkongensis. RNAcentral describes it as "partial 23S ribosomal RNA". It matches the Rfam family "Bacterial large subunit ribosomal RNA", at positions 1421 to 1720 of the family's 2925-position model. The record is from RNAcentral. Lineage: Bacteria; Pseudomonadati; Pseudomonadota; Betaproteobacteria; Neisseriales; Aquaspirillaceae.